RNAcentral lists this ribosomal RNA (318 nucleotides) under uncultured eukaryote. Its description in RNAcentral is "partial 18S ribosomal RNA". It matches the Rfam family "Eukaryotic small subunit ribosomal RNA", at positions 1470 to 1796 of the family's 1831-position model. The record is from RNAcentral.
CCCUUAGAUGUCCUGGGCCGCACGCGCGUUACACUGAUGCAUUCAACGAGCUUAUAACCUUGGCCGAGAGGCCUGGGCAAUCUUGUUAACGUGCAUCGUGAUAGGGAUAGAUUAUUGAAAUUAUUAAUCUUGAACGAGGAAUUCCUAGUAAACGCAGAUCAUCAAUCUGCAUUGAUUACGUCCCUGCCCUUUGUACACACCGCCCGUCGCACCUACCGAUUGGAUGGUCCGGUGAAGUCUCCGGACCUGGUCUCGAAUCUACGAUGGCCGGGGAAGUUGAGUAAACCUUACCAUUUAGAGGAAGGUGAAGUCGUAACA